RNAcentral lists this unclassified non-coding RNA (1634 nucleotides) under Onthophagus taurus. RNAcentral's name for it is "molybdenum cofactor biosynthesis protein 1, transcript variant X1". Lineage: Eukaryota; Metazoa; Arthropoda; Insecta; Coleoptera; Scarabaeidae. The record is from RNAcentral.
GCCUACAUACACAUCAUUAAGUAAACACAAUUUAAUUCAUUUUCUAUAAAUUAACGAGGUCAGCGAAAAGGACAAAACAUUAUAACUUUUCGCGUUAACUUAAAAUGCUUCGUAAUUUUAUAAAAAGAACUUACUGUAGUGUUCCAUUAAAUAAUCUCAAUAUCGAACAGAAAAUUAACCCAUUAACCGACACUUUCGGUAGAUUUCACAAUUAUUUGCGCAUCUCUCUAACAGAGAAAUGUAAUUUAAGAUGUCAAUAUUGUAUGCCAGCCGAAGGUGUUACUUUGAGUCCAAAACAAAAUUUACUAACUUUGGAUGAAAUUGUACGCGUUGCAAAACUUUUCGUUAAAGAAGGAGUUAAUAAAAUACGCUUAACAGGUGGUGAACCCACUGUACGUAAAGAUUUAGUUGAUAUAAUAGCAACUUUAAAAAGCAUUCCAGGUUUAGAAACCGUUGCAAUGACCACUAACGGAAUAGUUUUAACAAGACAAUUAGUUGCUUUACAAAGAGCCGGUCUCGAUAUCAUCAAUGUAAGCCUCGAUAGUUUAAAACCGGAACGAUACGAGAAAAUAACGCGAAGGAAAGGUUUAGAAAAAGUUAAAAUGGGCAUUGAUUUAGCGCUACAACUCGGAUAUAAACCCGUUAAAAUAAAUUGCGUUUUAAUUAAAGGGUUUAACGAUGACGAAAUUAUUGAUUUUGUGAAUUUAACAGAAAAUAAAAACAUCGAUAUACGAUUUAUUGAGUACAUGCCAUUUAGCGGAAAUAAAUGGGAAAUCAAAAAAAUGUUUCCUUAUAAAAAUAUCUUAGAAAAAAUCAAGGAAACACACCCGGAUUUUUAUCAACUCCCAAACGGCCCAAAUGAUACCUCAAAAGGAUGGAAAGUACCCGGAUUUGAAGGCCAAGUUGGUUUUAUUACUUCAAUGAGCGAACAUUUUUGCCAUUCUUGUAAUCGACUCAGAAUAACAGCUGAUGGACAUCUUAAAGUUUGCUUAUUUGGGAAUCGGGAGAUUUCUUUGAGGGAUGCGAUGAGAGCUGGGUGUAAUGAUGAUGAUUUAACUGCUUUAAUUGAAGCCGCCGUUAAAAAGAAGAAAAAACAACAUGCAGGCAUGGAAAAUUUACAUUUAAUGGAGAAUAGGCCGAUGAUUCUAAUUGGUGGAUAGAUUUAAAUUUAAACUUUUUAAAUUUAGUUGAUCUCUAAACGUAAUUUAGUUAUUUUCUCAUUUUAAGGUACUUUUAAUCGACCAAAUCAGCUCAACAACUCAAUUUUAAAUCAACAUUUCUUCCCCCAUCUCUUCGUGAAACCUCAAAAAAUCGCAAAUUACCGAAAUCACAGCACAUUGUCUCACAUAAACUCUGAAAGUGGAAGCGUACAAAUGGUUAACAUUGGUACGAAAUCGAUAACAAAUCGUACAGCAAAAGCUCGUGCAAUAAUCCACGUUGGAUCUGAAGUUUUAUCUCUAAUUAAAACAAAUUCGAUUAAGAAAGGCGCCGUUUUAACUUGUGCUGAAAUUGCUGGAAUAAUUGGAGCAAAAAGAACUAGUUCAUUAAUUCCAAUGUGUCACAAUAUCAAUUUAAAUCAUGUUGAGGUUAUUGCGGAACUUGAUGACAAAACGAGCUCUGUGAUUAUUUAUGGU